CUAAGGGGCGCAGCAGUCGAGAAUCUUCCGCAAUGGACGAAAGUCUGACGGAGCGACGCCGCGUGCGGGAUGAAGGCCUUCGGGUUGUAAACCGCUGUCAGUGGGGAGGAAAUGCAUCAGGGUUCUCCCUGGUGUUUGACCGAUCCGCAGAGGAAGCGCAGGCUAAGUUCGUGCCAGCAGCCGCGGUAACACGAACUGCGCGAACGUUAUUCGGAAUCACUGGGCUUAAAGAGUUCGUAGGCGGCCUUUCAAGCCGGGUGUGAAAUCCCUCGGCUCAACCGAGGAAUUGCGCCUGAUACUGUUGGGCUUGAGGGGGGUAGGGGUGAGCGGAACUGAUGGUGGAGCGGUGAAAUGCGUUGAUAUCAUCAGGAACACCGGUGGCGAAGGCGGCUCACUGGAUCUCUUCUGACGCUGAGGAACGAAAGCUAGGGGAGCGAACGGGAUUAGAUACCCUUGUAGUC
This 461-nucleotide ribosomal RNA is filed under the name uncultured bacterium. RNAcentral's name for it is "partial 16S ribosomal RNA". It matches the Rfam family "Bacterial small subunit ribosomal RNA", at positions 339 to 795 of the family's 1533-position model. The record is from RNAcentral.